This 335-nucleotide ribosomal RNA is filed under the name uncultured bacterium. RNAcentral's name for it is "partial 16S ribosomal RNA". It matches the Rfam family "Bacterial small subunit ribosomal RNA", at positions 338 to 690 of the family's 1533-position model. The record is from RNAcentral.
CCUACGGGAGGCAGCAGUGGGGGAUAUUGCACAAUGGGGGAAACCCUGAUGCAGCGACGCCGCGUGAGUGAAGAAGUAUUUCGGUAUGUUAAGCUCUAUCAGCAGGGAAGAAAAUGACAGUACCUGACCAAGAAGCCCCGGCUAACUACGUGCCAGCAGCCGCGGUAAUCCGUAGGGGGCAAGCGUUAUCCGGGUUUACUGGGGGUAAAGGGGGCGUAGACGGUUAUGUAAGUCUGGAGGGAAAGCCCGGGGCCCAACCCCGGGACUGCUUUGGGAACUGUGUAACUGGAGUACAGGAGGGGCAGGCGGGAAUCCGGGGGUAGGGGUGGAAUGCG